RNAcentral lists this non-coding RNA (28 nucleotides) under Rattus norvegicus (Norway rat). Lineage: Eukaryota; Metazoa; Chordata; Mammalia; Rodentia; Muridae. The record is from RNAcentral.
UAGGAUAAUGCACUUCCUAUCCUGGCCC